GACAGAGGUGCCGAGCGUUAGGCGGAAUCACUGGGCUUAAAGCGUGUGUAGGCGGAUCGUUAAGUGUCUUGUGAAAUCCCACGGCUCAACCGUGGAAUGGCUGGGCAUACUGGCGAUCUUGAGCGGGGUAGGGGCAGAUGGAACAAGUGGUGGAGCGGUGAAAUGCGUAGAUAUCACUUGGAACGCCGAAGGUGAAAACAGUCUGCUGGGGGCCUGCUGACGCUGAGACACGAAAGCCAGGGGAGCGAACGGG
Molecule: ribosomal RNA, 253 nt
Filed under: uncultured bacterium
Lineage: Bacteria
Description: partial 16S ribosomal RNA
Rfam family: Bacterial small subunit ribosomal RNA
Source: RNAcentral